ACUACGGGAGGCUGCAGUGAGGAAUAUUGGUCAAUGGGCGGAAGCCUGAACCAGCCAAGUAGCGUGCAGGAUGACUGCCCUACGGGUUGUAAACUUCUUUUAUACGGGAAUAACGCGCCUUACGUGUAGGUCUUUGCAUGUACCGUAUGAAUAAGGACCGGCUAAUUCCGUGCCAGCAGCCGCGGUAAUACGGAGGGUCCGGGCGUUAUCCGGAUUUAUUGGGUUUAAAGGGAGCGUAGGCGGCAUGUCAAGCGUGCUGUGAAAUGUUCGGGCUCAACCCUGGCCUUGCAGGGGAAACUGGCGUGCUUGAGUGCGCGUGAGGUAGGCGGAAUUCGUGGUGUAGCGGUGAAAUGCUUAGAUAUGACGAAGAACCCCGAUUGCGAAGGCAGCUUGCUGCAGCGGAACUGACGCUGAUGCUCGAAAGUGUGGGUAUCGAACAGGAUUAGAUACCCGGGUAGUC
This 460-nucleotide ribosomal RNA is filed under the name uncultured bacterium. RNAcentral's name for it is "partial 16S ribosomal RNA". It matches the Rfam family "Bacterial small subunit ribosomal RNA", at positions 338 to 795 of the family's 1533-position model. The record is from RNAcentral.